UACGAAGGGUGCAAGCGUUACUCGGAAUUACUGGGCGUAAAGGGUGCGUAGGUGGUUUGUUAAGUCUGCUGUGAAAUCCCCGGGCUCAACCUGGGAAUGGCAGUGGAUACUGGCAAGCUAGAGUGCGGUAGAGGGUAGUGGAAUUCCCGGUGUAGCAGUGAAAUGCGUAGAGAUCGUAAGGAAGACCAGUGGCGAAGGCGGGUCUCUGGACAGUUCCUGACACUGAGGCACGAAGGCCAGGGGAGCAAACGGG
RNAcentral lists this ribosomal RNA (253 nucleotides) under uncultured bacterium. Its description in RNAcentral is "partial 16S ribosomal RNA". It matches the Rfam family "Bacterial small subunit ribosomal RNA", at positions 524 to 776 of the family's 1533-position model. The record is from RNAcentral.